Mauremys mutica (yellowpond turtle) is the source of this 636-nucleotide non-coding RNA. The record is from the annotation of a RefSeq genome assembly. NCBI's taxonomy places the organism in Eukaryota, Metazoa, Chordata, Testudines, Geoemydidae.
AUGGGAUUUUUGCUUCUGUUCAUUUUCGCUGUAGCAGCUUUGGAAGGUAUUUUUCCUCCUCUGAAUAACGGGCAGUGUCUGGUCCAGGUGCAGCUGGUGGAGUCCGGAGGGGAUGUGAAAAAGCCCGGAGACUCUCUCCGCCUCUCCUGCAAAGCCUCCGGGUUCACCUUCAGCAGCUGGGAUAUGAACUGGGUCCGGCAGGCUCCCGGCAAGGGGCUAGAAUGGGUCGCUUAUAUAAACACGGGUGGGAGUACUAUAUACUACCUUGAUUCCGUCAAAGGCCGAUUCACCAUCUCCCGGGACAAUCCCAAGAGUGAGCUGUAUCUGCAAAUGACCGGCCUGAAGCCCGAGGACACCGCCCGCUAUUACUGUGCGAGACACAGUGACACGAAACCGGUUUGUGAUCAUACAAAAACCCGGGCUGCGGAAUCGCGCUUCUCCCGGCAGCCGCGCGGGGGCAGCAGUGACACACACACCGCUCCGGGCUGGGACAGGAGACCCGGCACCCGGGUGAAUGUAACACAAAACUCACAGGACAGCGUAUGUCAGUGUAAACGGGACAAGCGCAUUGGGGUUCGCAUCAGACCCAACGGAUGGAGCGAAUUUCCCCUAGGGCCAAAUCCUCCGCUGGUGUAA